GAUCCUGGCUCAGAUUGAACGCUGGCGGCAGGCCUAACACAUGCAAGUCGAGCGGUAGAGAGAAGCUUGCUUCUCUUGAGAGCGGCGGACGGGUGAGUAAUGCCUAGGAAUCUGCCUGGUAGUGGGGGAUAACGUUCGGAAACGGACGCUAAUACCGCAUACGUCCUACGGGAGAAAGCAGGGGACCUUCGGGCCUUGCGCUAUCAGAUGAGCCUAGGUCGGAUUAGCUAGUUGGUGGGGUAAUGGCUCACCAAGGCGACGAUCCGUAACUGGUCUGAGAGGAUGAUCAGUCACAGUGGAACUGAGACUCGGUCCAGACUCCUACGGGAGGCAGCAGUGGGGAAUAUUGGACAAUGGGCGAAAGCCUGAUCCAGCCAUGCCGCGUGUGUGAAGAAGGUCUUCGGAUUGUAAAGCACUUUAAGUUGGGAGGAAGGGUUGUAGAUUAAUACUCUCCAAUUUUGACGUUACCGACAGAAUAAGCAGAGGCUAACUCUGAGCCAGCAGCCGCGGUAAUACAGAGGGUGCAAGCGUUAAUCGGAAUUACUGGGCGUAAAGGUAGGUGGUUAGUUAAGUUGGAUGUGAAAUCCCCGGGCUCAACCUGGGAACUGCAUUCAAAACUGACUGACUAGAGUAUGGUAGAGGGUGGUGGAAUAUCCUGUGUAGCGGUGAAAUGCGUAGAUAUAGGAAGGAACACCAGUGGCGAUGGCGACCACCUGGACUGAUACUGACACUGAGGUGCGAAAGCGUGGGGAGCAAACAGGAUUAGAU
RNAcentral lists this ribosomal RNA (768 nucleotides) under Pseudomonas gessardii. RNAcentral's name for it is "bacterial SSU rRNA". It matches the Rfam family "Bacterial small subunit ribosomal RNA", at positions 15 to 783 of the family's 1533-position model. Lineage: Bacteria; Pseudomonadati; Pseudomonadota; Gammaproteobacteria; Pseudomonadales; Pseudomonadaceae. The record is from RNAcentral.